UACGGGGGGGGCAAGCGUUGUUCGGAAUUACUGGGCGUAAAGGGCGCGUAGGCGGCCUGCUAAGUCGAACGUGAAAUCCCCGGGCUCAACCCGGGAACUGCGUCCGAUACUGGUGGGCUUGAAUCCGGGAGAGGGAUGUGGAAUUCCAGGUGUAGCGGUGAAAUGCGUAGAUAUCUGGAGGAACACCGGUGGCGAAGGCGGCAUCCUGGACCGGUAUUGACGCUGAGGCGCGAAAGCCAGGGGAGCAAACAGG
This 253-nucleotide ribosomal RNA is filed under the name uncultured bacterium. RNAcentral's name for it is "partial 16S ribosomal RNA". It matches the Rfam family "Bacterial small subunit ribosomal RNA", at positions 524 to 776 of the family's 1533-position model. The record is from RNAcentral.